Molecule: long non-coding RNA, 574 nt
Filed under: Homo sapiens (human)
Lineage: Eukaryota; Metazoa; Chordata; Mammalia; Primates; Hominidae
Description: HSALNT0134919
Source: RNAcentral
UGCAAAGGGGAUACGAGUGGAGAUGACGUGUUAAGGCUGUGUGUGUGUGUGUGUGUGUGUGUGUGUGUGUGUGUGUAUGUGUGUGUGUGUUGUUUUGUUCUUAUUGAACAUGACUUGUGCAUACUAUGGAAUCAGUAGAAAAGAUCUGAAAGAGCUGGAGAUAGAGACAGGAGAGUGAAGGGAUGAUAGACAGUUCUAUGUUCCUACCAAAGACUCUUGGCCAAGAUGCAAGGCAGGAAUGAGAGCCUCACCUUUGAUGGGAGGAACAGCAACCCCUGCUACAACAAGAGGCAAGGAGAGGAAAAAGUGAGCCUUUCAGUUGGUGUCGGGAAGAAGAGGCAACCAUUGGCUUAAACACUUUGAUUUCUCUGAAUCUUAGCAGGGUGAAGCAUGGAUGAGGUUAUGACUCAGCUUUGACCAUGCAGCCAAAGACAACAUCCUAGGAACUGUGAGCCAAGGGGAUGGGAGGAAGCCAUGGCCCCGACUGACCCGAUGGAGCUGAGUAGCCCGACCAGUCUGGACCACCCACCCCUGGCCUUUUGCUUGAGAAAUAAAUUAAUUUCAGAUUCUUUAA